This 352-nucleotide unclassified non-coding RNA is filed under the name soil metagenome. RNAcentral describes it as "partial contains 5.8S ribosomal RNA, internal transcribed spacer 2, and large subunit ribosomal RNA". The stretch from base 1 to 120 matches the Rfam family "5.8S ribosomal RNA", at positions 35 to 154 of the family's 154-position model. The record is from RNAcentral.
GAUGAAGAACGUAGCGAAAUGCGAUAAGUAAUGUGAAUUGCAGAAUUCAGUGAAUCAUCGAAUCUUUGAGCGCACAUUGCGCCCGCCAGUAUUCUGGCGGGCAUGCCUGUUCGAGCGUCAUUACAACCCUCAGGCCCCCGGGCCUGGCGUUGGGGAUCGGCGGAAGCCCCCUGUGGGCACACGCCGUCCCUCAAAUACAGUGGCGGUCCCGCCGCAGCUUCCAUUGCGUAGUAGCUAACACCUCGCAACUGGAGAGCGGCGCGGCCAUGCCGUAAAACACCCAACUUCUGAAUGUUGACCUCGAAUCAGGUAGGAAUACCCGCUGAACUUAAGCAUAUCAAUAAGCGGAGGA